Long non-coding RNA from Solanum stenotomum, 807 nucleotides. RefSeq lists it as uncharacterized. The transcript has 4 exons. The record is from RefSeq and is a predicted model, not a curated record. NCBI's taxonomy places the organism in Eukaryota, Viridiplantae, Streptophyta, Magnoliopsida, Solanales, Solanaceae.
UCAGUUACUUUGUUAUACUGGUAUAAGCGUCCGUUCCUUCCAAUGACAAACACCACGUUCUCUCGGAGCAGUUUCUGGUCAACAAUGCUUGCAAUCUUCGUACUGGUUGGAUACCGACAAUCUUUCCAUUUGAACUUUCUCAGUGCAACCUAAGAAACAAGUUAUGACACUUUAGCCUUCAUUUUAUCAAUAUUCAGACUGGAAGCUUAGAAAUUUCAGGAUAUAUAUGCUUAGUGCCACUCAUUUUAGCCUUCAUUUUAUUAGGCUGAAAGCAUUCUUCGUAUAGUCACCUUUUGAACCUCUAAACUAGAAAAGUGGACAUAGUAUAUGUUUCCAGUUAUGGUUACCUUUUGAUCCACUUAAUUGCCUUGUAACUUUAUAGGAAGCUGGCGUGGACUGGAUCAUUCAUCUUGAUACUGAUGAGCUAAUGCAUCCAGCUGGAAGUCUGGAACUAGUGAGUAUUCUUUACCGAGACUUCUGGCAGAUAUACCUGAAGAUGAUGACAUGGUCAUAUUUCCUAACUAUGAGAGCAGUGUUGAGAGAGAUGAUGUGAAGGAACCUUUUAGUGAAGUCUCGAUGUUCAAGAAGAAUUAUGACCAUCUCACAAAAGAAAUGUACUUUGGAAACUACAAGGAAGCAACUCGUGGGAAAUGGAGGUGAUCAAAUUUGAAGGGUCGCCACAAGUCAAUUUGAUCUCAUUGAAGUGGAAGUGGAUAGUGAAGAGUUUUUGAACUAUUGUAAAAAUUUGAAUACAUUAUAUUUGAUUUUGUGAAAUAUUUUCAUUGCUAGAAUAUAUGUUGAACUAUU